RNAcentral lists this ribosomal RNA (603 nucleotides) under uncultured fungus. Its description in RNAcentral is "eukaryotic LSU rRNA". It matches the Rfam family "Eukaryotic large subunit ribosomal RNA", at positions 23 to 641 of the family's 3401-position model. The record is from RNAcentral. Lineage: Eukaryota; Fungi.
ACCCGCUGAACUUAAGCAUAUCAAUAAGCGGAGGAAAAGAAACCAACAGGGAUUGCCCUAGUAACGGCGAGUGAAGCGGCAACAGCUCAAAUUUGAAAUCUGGCGUCUUUGGCGUCCGAGUUGUAAUUUGCAGAGGGCGCUUUGGCAUUGGCAGCGGUCCAAGUUCCUUGGAACAGGACGUCACAGAGGGUGAGAAUCCCGUACGUGGUCGCUAGCCUUUACCGUGUAAAGCCCCUUCGACGAGUCGAGUUGUUUGGGAAUGCAGCUCUAAAUGGGAGGUAAAUUUCUUCUAAAGCUAAAUAUUGGCCAGAGACCGAUAGCGCACAAGUAGAGUGAUCGAAAGAUGAAAAGCACUUUGGAAAGAGAGUUAAAAAGCACGUGAAAUUGUUGAAAGGGAAGCGCUUGCAGCCAGACUUGCCUGUAGUUGCUCAUCCGGGUUUUUACCCGGUGCACUCUUCUAUAGGCAGGCCAGCAUCAGUUUGGGCGGUUGGAUAAAGGUCUCUGUCAUGUACCUCUCUUCGGGGAGAACUUAUAGGGGAGACGACAUGCAACCAGCCCGGACUGAGGUCCGCGCAUCUGCUAGGAUGCUGGCGUAAUGGCUGU